Long non-coding RNA from Sinocyclocheilus rhinocerous, 152 nucleotides. RefSeq lists it as uncharacterized. The transcript has 3 exons. The record is from RefSeq and is a predicted model, not a curated record. NCBI's taxonomy places the organism in Eukaryota, Metazoa, Chordata, Actinopteri, Cypriniformes, Cyprinidae.
ACCGUUCACGACCAAGAAAGCCGACGGAAAGCUAGAGAACAAGCUGCCAGACUGAAGAAGAUUGAGGAGGAUGAGAAGAGAAAGAAAGCAGAGUUUAGGAAAAAGAUGGAGAAGGAGGUGUCAGAGUUCAUCCAGGACAGCACACUGAAGAA